This 494-nucleotide ribosomal RNA is filed under the name uncultured bacterium. RNAcentral describes it as "partial 16S ribosomal RNA". It matches the Rfam family "Bacterial small subunit ribosomal RNA", at positions 28 to 507 of the family's 1533-position model. The record is from RNAcentral.
GACGAACGCUGGCGGCGCGCUUAACACAUGCAAGUCGAACGGAAAGGCCUGCUUUCCCUUGUGGAUUGCGGGUACUCGAGUGGCGAACGGGUGAGUAACACGUGAGUGAUCUGCCCCCAACUUGGGUAUAAGCCUGGGAAACUGGGUCUAAUUACCGAUAGGACUGCAGGGUGGUGCCGGUGGUGGAAAACGAUUUGCUAGUGGUUGGGGAUGAGCUCGCGGCCUAUCAGGUUGUUGAUGGGGUAAAGGACUACCAAGGCGGCGACGGGUAGUCGGAGGGGGAGGGUGGACGGCGGCACUGGGACUGGGUCCCGACUCAGGCGGGUAGGGGCGGCAGGAGUGGGGAAUAUUGGACCAUGGGCGGGAGGCUGAAGCAGCGACGCAGUGUGGGAGAUGUCGGCCUUCGGGUUCUCAACUCCUAUGGACCGCGAGAAAGCCACCUGGUUGGAAGGGUGGUGACGGUAGUGGUAGAGGAAGCACCGGCUAACUACGUG